GUGUCAGCCGCCGCGGUAAUACAUAGGGGGCAAGCGUUAUCCGGAAUUACUGGGUGUAAAGGGUGCGUAGGCGGUUAAGUAAGUCAGAUGUGAAAACUCAUUGCUCAACGAUGAGAAUGCAUUUGAAACUACUUGACUAGAGUAUGGGAGAGGUAAGUGGAAUUCCUAGUGUAGCGGUAAAAUGCGUAGAUAUUAGGAAGAACACCAGUGGCGAAGGCGACUUACUGGACCAAAACUGACGCUGAGGCACGAAAGCGUGGGGAGCAAACAGGAUUAGAUACCCUGGUAGUCCACGCUGUAAACGAUGAAUACUAGGUGUUGGCUUCUUAAGAGGUCAGUGCCGCAGCUAACGCAAUAAGUAUUCCACCUGGGAAGUACGAUCGCAAGAUUGAA
This 393-nucleotide ribosomal RNA is filed under the name uncultured bacterium. RNAcentral describes it as "bacterial SSU rRNA". It matches the Rfam family "Bacterial small subunit ribosomal RNA", at positions 505 to 898 of the family's 1533-position model. The record is from RNAcentral.